Molecule: non-coding RNA, 98 nt
Filed under: bovine gut metagenome
Description: SAM riboswitch (S box leader)
Rfam family: SAM riboswitch aptamer (S box leader)
About the family: The SAM riboswitch is found upstream of a number of genes which code for proteins involved in methionine or cysteine biosynthesis in Gram-positive bacteria. The SAM riboswitch acts at the level of transcription termination control.
Source: RNAcentral
GCUUAUCCGGAGUGACGGAGGGAACAGGCCCUAUGAAGUCCGACAACCUGCUUGUAUCAAGUAAGGUGCCAAAUCCUGCGGUAUGACCGAAAGAUGAG